Ictalurus punctatus (channel catfish) is the source of this 494-nucleotide long non-coding RNA. RefSeq lists it as uncharacterized. NCBI's taxonomy places the organism in Eukaryota, Metazoa, Chordata, Actinopteri, Siluriformes, Ictaluridae. The transcript is spliced from 2 exons. The record is from RefSeq and is a predicted model, not a curated record.
UAUAUAUAUAUAUAUAUAUAUUGUCGCGACGGGCAGAGAUCCGGCGCACACCAGAGGGAAAACGCUCCUUCUCCGACUGCCGCACCGGCACGACGUGGGCAGCUUCCUGCCGAACAUUCCGCCAGCUGGAAGGACCGCCGCGGCAGGGCGGGGCUGACGCGACUCCGGCCCGCGAUUGGCGGAUCCAACGGGGAAGUCCCACCACUCAGGCGACGACGGAGGAGGAUAAAAGAGCGCGCUUCCGGCCGGGAAGCGGAAGAGAAUAUCGUGGCGUCAAAACGGACUCCGAGUCGUAAGCGCGGACGAGACCGCCGGAUAGUGAGAGUCGCACACACGGAGGACGCCGGCCCGGGAAAACCCCCGCCCCGCCUCGGGAAUCCCGCCUCCGCCACGAGUCGACUCCGCCGGCCGUCACGCCUUCACAAACCCCCGCACUCUUCCAUUUAUCACACGUUCACCUCACCCUAGCCACAAUAAAGCACCGUCUGCAACCA